GGGGAUAUAGCUCAGUUGGUAGAGUGUACAACCCUCACGUGAACAAGGCCCUGGGUUCAAUCCCCAGCACCUCA
This 74-nucleotide transfer RNA is filed under the name Marmota monax (woodchuck). RNAcentral's name for it is "tRNA.Val". The record is from RNAcentral. Lineage: Eukaryota; Metazoa; Chordata; Mammalia; Rodentia; Sciuridae.